CGUUAACGAACGAGACCUUAACCUGCUAACUAGCCCGACUCACUUUUGUGGGCCGCUGGCUUCUUAGAGGGACUAUCGGCUCAAGCCGAUGGAAGUUUGAGGCAAUAACAGGUCUGUAAUGCCCUUAGAUGUUCUGGGCCGCACGCGCGCUACACUGAUGAAGUCAACGAGUUCAUUUCCUUUAUCGGAAGAUAUGGGUAAUCUUUUGAAACUUCAUCGUGAUGGGGAUAGAGCAUUGCAAUUAUUGCUCUUCAACGAGGAAUCCCUAGUAAGCACAAGUCAUCAGCUUGUGCUGAUUACGUCCCUGCCCUUUGUACACACCGCCCGUCGCUACUACCGAUUGAAUGGCU
RNAcentral lists this ribosomal RNA (350 nucleotides) under uncultured fungus. Its description in RNAcentral is "SSU rRNA". It matches the Rfam family "Eukaryotic small subunit ribosomal RNA", at positions 1326 to 1698 of the family's 1831-position model. Lineage: Eukaryota; Fungi. The record is from RNAcentral.